CCGAUUUGCUUCCUCAAGAUUUCAGAGUGUGCAUCUGAGAAUUCUGACUGUGCAUCAUAAAGUUUCCCUCAGCAACUGCUAAAACUAUUCACGAGGCACUGCAGCAUGGAGCAGCUCUCAAAGAUGGGUUGGACUUUCAAUACUUAUGCAUCUAGUUAGGAAACACAUCGUGCAGAAUGAAAAAAAAGGAAGAAAUGGCACUUUCAUGUUUCUGUUUGCAAGCUGGAUUCAUCACUCCUCAGCUAUUAGCUACAGAGUCACAGAUGGAGGAUGGUUUGCUGGAAAAUAAAUGAAGCACAAGGAUGACUUCAAACAUUUGCAGGAGCCAUGCUGACACUCAAAAUAUAGAAACAUCAAGUAACUUUCCUGGUGAGAUCAUAAAAGCAGAGCCACAGUGAUCAAAGAAGAAAAUGCAAGACUCUUACUCCAUUCCUAAUACAAGAUCCAUUCUCCUUCUGGGACCAGGAGCCUCCAUGGCACAGAGAUGCUCCCAUAGUCUACAAAUACAGUACAUAAGCUACGGGACCAGAUGGCUCCCACACAUAAUGCUCUGAAUCAUGGCAAGGCUCGAGGUGUUUGUUCUGUGGCACAGCAAACACACUCUGGACCAGGUUAAACCCCCUCUCAGCCACAUAUGGUGCACGCUGCGUGGAGCUGCAGCAGGUGCCUAUGGAUCCACACAGAGGAAGAUCCUUUUCUUCUUGCAGGUUGUCAGGAAAAUGACUGUCAUACCUUCAGCACAAAUAGCAGGGAAGAGAGGCAGUGCAGUAACACAUGGCACAGGACAGAUGCUCGGCGCUUCCUGGGAUGCACAAUGCCUGAUGGCAAGGAAUCCUGGCGGGCCAAGGACAGGAGGCUCUUGUUCCCCCUCUGAUUUCUCCAUGCAGCUUGUGAUUAAACUGGUGCUGACACCUUGCCUAGUGCCUGUUUGCACAGCCAAUAGCUCUGGGCAGGACUUCUGGCCGUAAAGCACCUACUGGAAAAGGAGAGAAUCUCAUUGUUUGAGAGCAUCUUUGCCCCUGGCAUUUGUUAAAUAGAAAAUAAAACCGAUUUUCUCCUCACUUGCCUCACAUAGAUGUGGGUAGAUUCAAGCUGUGGCAGCCCUGUGAAAUGAGGGUGAAUGGGGAGGUGUUUGCCAAUGGAACAACCACUGCUCAGGAAGACAAGGCUGGAGGGAUUGCACAGCAUGUGAUGUGUGCUUCAGUGACAAGACCAUAAACACCACCCUGUAGUUGUCCCUCACUGAUCCAUCACACUUCUGAGCACUGAAAAACCCUGUAAUAAUGAAGGUGCUUUUUCAAUACCUAGGAGAUGGCUGUUUCAGAGAAUUCCAGCCUGCCAUGCUGGGGCUCAGCGCAAGCACCAAAUCCCAGGGUGGCUGAGGGAUGUCCUGGAUCGCA
This is a long non-coding RNA of Manacus vitellinus (golden-collared manakin), 1400 nucleotides long. RefSeq lists it as uncharacterized. NCBI's taxonomy places the organism in Eukaryota, Metazoa, Chordata, Aves, Passeriformes, Pipridae. The transcript is spliced from 4 exons. The record is from RefSeq and is a predicted model, not a curated record.